Molecule: transfer RNA, 60 nt
Filed under: Schistocephalus solidus
Lineage: Eukaryota; Metazoa; Platyhelminthes; Cestoda; Diphyllobothriidea; Diphyllobothriidae
Rfam family: tRNA
About the family: Transfer RNA (tRNA) molecules are approximately 80 nucleotides in length. Their secondary structure includes four short double-helical elements and three loops (D, anti-codon, and T loops). Further hydrogen bonds mediate the characteristic L-shaped molecular structure. tRNAs have two regions of fundamental functional importance: the anti-codon, which is responsible for specific mRNA codon recognition, and the 3' end, to which the tRNAs corresponding amino acid is attached (by aminoacyl-tRNA synthetases). tRNAs cope with the degeneracy of the genetic code in two manners: having more than one tRNA (with a specific anti-codon) for a particular amino acid; and 'wobble' base-pairing, i.e. permitting non-standard base-pairing at the 3rd anti-codon position.
Source: Rfam by way of RNAcentral
GGCCUCGUAGCUCAGGUGGCUAGAGCGUUGGCUGGGUGGGUUCGAAUCCCACCGAGGCCG